This 483-nucleotide ribosomal RNA is filed under the name uncultured bacterium. Its description in RNAcentral is "partial 16S ribosomal RNA". It matches the Rfam family "Bacterial small subunit ribosomal RNA", at positions 30 to 507 of the family's 1533-position model. The record is from RNAcentral.
AUUGAACGCUGGCGGCAGGCCUAACACAUGCAAGUCGAGCGGAUGAAGGGAGCUUGCUCCUGGAUUCAGCGGCGGACGGGUGAGUAAUGCCUAGGAAUCUGCCUGGUAGUGGGGGAUAACGUCCGGAAACGGGCGCUAAUACCGCAUACGUCCUGAGGGAGAAAGUGGGGGAUCUUCGGACCUCACGCUAUCAGAUGAGCCUAGGUCGGAUUAGCUAGUUGGUGGGGUAAAGGCCUACCAAGGCGACGAUCCGUAACUGGUCUGAGAGGAUGAUCAGUCACACUGGAACUGAGACACGGUCCAGACUCCUACGGGAGGCAGCAGUGGGGAAUAUUGGACAAUGGGCGAAAGCCUGAUCCAGCCAUGCCGCGUGUGUGAAGAAGGUCUUCGGAUUGUAAGCACUUUAAGUUGGGAGGAAGGGCAGUAAGUUAAUACCUUGCUGUUUUGACGUUACCAACAGAAUAAGCACCGGCUAACUUCGUG